UUGUAGCCAGUUAAGCCAACUGUGCUCUUUUCCCCAUGGGGGCCCGGUGUGCAAUGGCUGCAAACAGCAGCCUCCUCAGUAGUGUAUGUAGCCUGUUGCCUGUAUGGGUUGCCCUAAGGGACCUUGGAGGCAGCC
Molecule: small nucleolar RNA, 135 nt
Organism: Kogia breviceps (pygmy sperm whale)
Lineage: Eukaryota; Metazoa; Chordata; Mammalia; Artiodactyla; Physeteridae
Product: small nucleolar RNA SNORA70
Exons: 1
Source: RefSeq, a predicted model, not a curated record